AUUGAACGCUGGCGGCAUGCCUAACACAUGCAAGUCGAACGGUAACAGGCCCUUCGGGCGCUGACGAGUGGCGGACGGGUGAGUAAUGCUUAGGAAUCUGCCUAGUAGUGGGGGAGUAACCCGGGAAACGUCGGCUAAUACCGCAUACGUCCUACGGGAGGAAAGCGGGGGCCGUUCGGCCGUCGCGCUAUUAGAUGAGCCUAAGUCCGAUUAGCUAGUU
This 220-nucleotide ribosomal RNA is filed under the name uncultured bacterium. Its description in RNAcentral is "partial 16S ribosomal RNA". It matches the Rfam family "Bacterial small subunit ribosomal RNA", at positions 30 to 250 of the family's 1533-position model. The record is from RNAcentral.